GAUGAACGCUGGCGGCGUGCCUAAUACAUGCAAGUCGAGCGAACAGACGAGGAGCUUGCUCCUCUGACGUUAGCGGCGGACGGGUGAGUAACACGUGGAUAACCUACCUAUAAGACUGGGAUAACUUCGGGAAACCGGAGCUAAUACCGGAUAAUAUAUUGAACCGCAUGGUUCAAUAGUGAAAGACGGUUUUGCUGUCACUUAUAGAUGGAUCCGCGCCGCAUUAGCUAGAUGGUAAGGUAACGGCUUACCAAGGCAACGAUGCGUAGCCGACCUGAGAGGGUGAUCGGCCACACUGGAACUGGGACACGGUCCAGACUCCUACGGGAGGCAGCAGUAGGGAAUCUUCCGCAAUGGGCGAAAGCUUGACGGAGCAACGCCGCGUGAGUGAUGAAGGUCUUCGGAUCGUAAAACUCUGUUAUUAGGGAAGAACAAAUGUGUAAGUAACUAUGCACGUCUUGACGGUACCUAAUCAGAAAGCCACGGCUAACUACGUG
Molecule: ribosomal RNA, 497 nt
Filed under: uncultured bacterium
Lineage: Bacteria
Description: partial 16S ribosomal RNA
Rfam family: Bacterial small subunit ribosomal RNA
Source: RNAcentral